Molecule: ribosomal RNA, 497 nt
Filed under: uncultured bacterium
Lineage: Bacteria
Description: partial 16S ribosomal RNA
Rfam family: Bacterial small subunit ribosomal RNA
Source: RNAcentral
GAUGAACGCUGGCGGCGUGCCUAAUACAUGCAAGUCGAGCGAACGGACGAGAAGCUUGCUUCUCUGAUGUUAGCGGCGGACGGGUGAGUAACACGUGGAUAACCUACCUAUAAGACUGGGAUAACUUCGGGAAACCGUAGCUAAUACCGGAUAAUAUUUUGAACCGCAUGGUUCAAAAGUGAAAGACGGUCUUGCUGUCACUUAUAGAUGGAUCCGCGCUGCAUUAGCUAGUUGGUAAGGUAACGGCUUACCAAGGCAACGAUGCAUAGCCGACCUGAGAGGGUGGUCGGCCACACGGGAACUGAGACACGGUCCAGACUCCUACGGGAGGCAGCAGUAGGGAAUCUUCCGCAAUGGGCGAAAGCCUGACGGAGCAACUCCGCGUGAGUGAUGAAGGUCUUCGGAGCGUAAAACUCUGUUAUUAGGGAAGAACAUAUGUGUAAGUAACUGUGCACAUCUUGACGGUACCUAAUCAGAAAGCCACGGCUAACUACGUG